GAUGAACGCUAGCGGGAGGCCUAACACAUGCAAGCCGAGCGGUAUUGUUUCUUCGGAAAUGAGAGAGCGGCGUACGGGUGCGGAACACGUGUGCAACCUGCCUUUAUCUGGGGGAUAGCCCUUUCGAAAGGAAGAUUAAUACUCCAUAAUAUAUUGAACGGCAUCGUUUAAUAUUGAAAGCUCCGGCGGAUAGAGAUGGGCACGCGCAAGAUUAGCUAGUUGGUGAGGUAACGGCUCACCAAGGCAAUGAUCUUUAGGGGGCCUGAGAGGGUGAUCCCCCACACUGGUACUGAGACACGGACCAGACUCCUACGGGAGGCAGCAGUGAGGAAUAUUGGUCAAUGGGUGCAAGCCUGAACCAGCCAUCCCGCGUGAAGGACGACUGCCCCUAUGGGUUGUAAACUUCUUUUGUAUUAGGGAUAAACCUUUCCACGUGUGGAAAGCUGAAGGUACUAUACGAUAAGCACCGGCUAACUCCGUAGCCAGCAG
This 489-nucleotide ribosomal RNA is filed under the name uncultured bacterium. Its description in RNAcentral is "bacterial SSU rRNA". It matches the Rfam family "Bacterial small subunit ribosomal RNA", at positions 28 to 514 of the family's 1533-position model. The record is from RNAcentral.